Molecule: ribosomal RNA, 496 nt
Filed under: uncultured bacterium
Lineage: Bacteria
Description: partial 16S ribosomal RNA
Rfam family: Bacterial small subunit ribosomal RNA
Source: RNAcentral
GAUGAACGCUGGCAGCGUGCCUAAUACAUGCAAGUCGAGCGAACGGACGAGAAGCUUGCUUCUCUGAUGUUAGCGGCGGACGGGUGAGUAACACGUGGAUAACCUACCUAUAAGACUGGGAUACUUCGGGAAACCGGAGCUAAUACCGGAUAAUAUUUUGAACCGCAUGGUUCAAAAGUGAAAGACGGUCUUGCUGUCACUUAUAGAUGGAUCCGCGCUGCAUUAGCUAGUUGGUAAGGUAACGGCUUACCAAGGCAACGAUGCAUAGCCGACCUGAGAGGGUGAUCGGCCACACUGGAACUGAGACACGGUCCAGACUCCUACGGGAGGCAGCAGUAGGGAAUCUUCCGCAAUGGGCGAAAGCCUGACGGAGCAACGCCGCGUGAGUGAUGAAGGUCUUCGGAUCGUAAAACUCUGUUAUUAGGGAAGAACAUAUGUGUAAGUAACUGUGCACAUCUUGACGGUACCUAAUCAGAAAGCCACGGCUAACUACGUG